This 374-nucleotide ribosomal RNA is filed under the name uncultured organism. Its description in RNAcentral is "bacterial SSU rRNA". It matches the Rfam family "Bacterial small subunit ribosomal RNA", at positions 526 to 896 of the family's 1533-position model. The record is from RNAcentral.
CGGGGGGAGCAAGCGUUGUUCGGAUUUACUGGGCGUAAAGGGCGCGUAGGCGGCCACCGCAAGUCGACUGUGAAAUCUCCGGGCUUAACCCGGAACGGUCAGCCGAUACUGCGGGGCUAGAGUGCAGAAGGGGCAACUGGAAUUCUCGGUGUAGCGGUGAAAUGCGUAGAUAUCGAGAGGAACACCUGCGGCGAAGGCGGGUUGCUGGGCCGACACUGACGCUGAGGCGCGAAAGCUAGGGGAGCGAACGGGAUUAGAUACCCCGGUAGUCCUAGCCUUAAACGAUGAAUGCUUGGUGUCUGGGGUUUUAUAGUCCCCGGGUGCCGUCGCUAACGCUUUAAGCAUUCCGCCUGGGGAGUACGGUCGCAAGACUG